UAACCCCUCAAGCUCGGCUUGGUGUUGGGGCCUGCCGCACGGGCAGCCCUUAAAAUCAGUGGCGGUGCCAUCUGGCUCUAAGCGUAGUAAUUCUUCUCGCUAUAGAGUCCCGGUGGAUGCUUGCCAUCAACCCCCAUACUUCUAA
Molecule: unclassified non-coding RNA, 145 nt
Filed under: uncultured Helotiales
Lineage: Eukaryota; Fungi; Ascomycota; Leotiomycetes; Helotiales
Description: sequence contains ITS2
Source: RNAcentral